Molecule: ribosomal RNA, 253 nt
Filed under: uncultured bacterium
Lineage: Bacteria
Description: partial 16S ribosomal RNA
Rfam family: Bacterial small subunit ribosomal RNA
Source: RNAcentral
UACGUAGGGGGCAAGCGUUGUCCGGAAUUAUUGGGCGUAAAGAGCGCGUAGGCGGUCCGGUAAGUCGGUUGUGAAAGUCGGGGGCUCAACCCUCGGAUGCCGAUCGAUACUGUCGGGCUAGAGUCCGGAAGAGGCGAGUGGAAUUCCUGGUGUAGCGGUGAAAUGCGUAGAUAUCUGGAGGAACACCGGUGGCGAAAGCGGCAUCCUGGACCAACACUGACGCUGAGGAGCGAAAGCCAGGGGAGCAAACGGG